RNAcentral lists this ribosomal RNA (497 nucleotides) under uncultured bacterium. RNAcentral describes it as "partial 16S ribosomal RNA". It matches the Rfam family "Bacterial small subunit ribosomal RNA", at positions 28 to 507 of the family's 1533-position model. The record is from RNAcentral.
GAUGAACGCUGGCGGCGUGCCUAAUACAUGCAAGUCGAGCGAACAGACGAGGAGCUUGCUCCUCUGACGUUAGCGGCGGACGGGUGAGUAACACGUGGAUAACCUACCUCUAAGACUGGGAUAACUUCGGGAAACCGGAGCUAAUACCGGAUAAUAUAUUGAACCGCAUGGUUCAAUAGUGAAAGACGGUUUUGCUGUCACUUAUAGAUGGAUCCGCGCCGCAUUAGCUAGUUGGUAAGGUAACGGCUUACCAAGGCAACGAUGCGGAGCCGACCUGAGAGGGUGAUCGGCCACACUGGAACUGAGACACGGUCCAGACUCCUACGGGGGGCAGCAGUAGGGAAUCUUCCGCAAUGGGCGAAAGCCUGACGGAGCAACGCCGCGUGAGUGAUGAAGGCCUUCGGAUCGUAAAACUCUGUUAUUAGGGAAGAACAAAUGUGUAAGUAACUAUGCACGUCUUGACGGUACCUAAUCAGAAAGCCACGGCUAACUACGUG